GUAUAUUCUGUCUACCUCUCCAUGAUAUACGGUGCUUAUUUAUAGAAUCCUACUUUUCGACUCACUCCUCUCAUCUUUGCCAGAAAAGAGGCCAUGGCUCACAUGAUAUUCAGCUUCAUGGUGGAUGCAACUCUGUCCUCGGUGUUUUCACUUAUCAUAUAUGAAAUCAUCCUUGCUUGGAAUCUCAAUGAUGACUCUAAAUGCCUUCAAGAUUCCCUCACCAUGAUUCAUGCUGUGCUUCGAGAUGCAGACUUACGACAAACCAGGAGAGAACCUGUGAGGCUUUGGCUGAAGAAGCUCAGAGAUGUAGCUUAUGAGGGUGAAGCCGUGUUAAAUAAGUUGCGGAUCGACGAUAUUCGACAAAGGGUUGAGAUGCUAGACCAAUCAGGAACAGAGGUAGCUAUGGAACUUCAUGAAGAGAAUGUUGGGAGAUAGUCCUCCAUAUAGUGCUUCAUGAGAGACUGCCAGAUGCAAGAUUAUGCCAGAUGCACAGCUGCAUCAUUUUCUCUGCAAAUUUCUGCUUUUAUUCGAGCCAACUGGGGGAGAAAAAUAUCAUUCAACUGAGUAGAAAGAAAAGGGGCCAUGGCUCCCAAGAUAUUCAGUCUCCUGGUGGAUGCAACUCUGUCCUGGGUGCUUUCACUCAUCAUAUAUCAAAUCAUCCUUGCUUGGAAUCUCAAUGACGACUCGAAGGGCCUUCAAGAUUCUCUCACCAUGAUUCGUGCUGUGCUUCAAGAUGCAGACGAACAACAACACAGGAGAGAACCUGUGAGGCUUUGGCUGAAGAAGCUCAAAGAUGUAGCUUAUGAGGGUGAAGCCGUGUUAAAUAAGUUAAAGAACGACGAUAUUCGACAAAUGGUUGAGAUGCUAGACCAAUCAGGAACAGAGGUGCAGAAGAUACUGUUGCAGACUUGUGUGUAGAAGUUGCAGAUCUGUUUCCAACUCUUAGGGCUUGUAAAAUUGUCUUAAAGUUUCAUGCGCGCUUGAAGAUAUUGUGGACUGGUAGCUAUGGAACUUCAUGAAGGGAAUGUUGGGAGAUAGUCUUCCAUAUAGUACUUCACGAGAGACUGCGAGAUGCAAGAUUAUGCCAGACGCACAGCUGCAUUAUUUUCUCUGCAAAUUUCUGCUUUUAUUCAUGCCAAUUGGAAAAGAAAAAAAAUCAUUCAACUGAGAAGAAAGGUAAGUGAGACAUUCUAUUUUAUUUCCAAAAGAUAUUUGAAUUUCGGUCAUUAGUAAACUCUAAUUACAAUGGUCACAGAUGAACUGUUUGUUGUUCUGCUUUCAGCAUGUCUCAACUUUGUCCCACUGAUAGACAAAAAAUUUAGCCUUUUGUUAGCUCCUUCUGGGAUUAUGACUGCUAAAUUUUGAGUUAAAGCAAUAAGACUAAACAGAAAUAGAGAUAAGUUUGCAUCACCAACUCGAGCUUUGAGUCUCAAGUUCUCAUCACGGUGCCAACAUCCUUCCGCUAAAAUCGACUAGAGAACCAAGAAGCCUCACUUUGCAAUUGGAAGCCAUUAGAUGGAAGAGCAAUACUGAGUUCAAGCUGCAAUAGUAAACAUAAUUGACCAGACAACUGUGGCUUGUUUAACUUUUUUACUUCCUGCAUAUUGGUAUGAGUUGUAAAUUACAUAUUGCAGUAGAUUUCUUUCGUGCUA
This is an RNA transcript of Hevea brasiliensis (rubber tree), 1652 nucleotides long. It is a transcript of the gene named disease resistance protein RGA2-like, with no coding region annotated. Lineage: Eukaryota; Viridiplantae; Streptophyta; Magnoliopsida; Malpighiales; Euphorbiaceae. The transcript is spliced from 7 exons. The record is from RefSeq and is a predicted model, not a curated record.